UACGUAGGGGGCAAGCGUUGUCCGGAAUUAUUGGGCGUAAAGAGCGUGUAGGCGGUCCGGUAAGUCAGCUGUGAAAGUCAAGGGCUCAACCCUUGAAUGCCGGUUGAUACUGUCGGGCUAGAGUCCGGAAGAGGCGAGUGGAAUUCCCGGUGUAGCGGUGAAAUGCGCAGAUAUCAGGAAGAACACCCGUGGCGAAGGCGGCUCUCUGGGACGGUACUGACGCUGAGACGCGAAAGCGUGGGGAGCGAACAGG
This 253-nucleotide ribosomal RNA is filed under the name uncultured bacterium. RNAcentral's name for it is "partial 16S ribosomal RNA". It matches the Rfam family "Bacterial small subunit ribosomal RNA", at positions 524 to 776 of the family's 1533-position model. The record is from RNAcentral.